This 254-nucleotide ribosomal RNA is filed under the name uncultured bacterium. RNAcentral describes it as "partial 16S ribosomal RNA". It matches the Rfam family "Bacterial small subunit ribosomal RNA", at positions 524 to 776 of the family's 1533-position model. The record is from RNAcentral.
UACGGGGGGAGCAAGCGUUGUUCGGAUUUACUGGGCGUAAAGGGCGCGUAGGCGGCCAGCACAAUUCGGUUGUGAAAUCUCCGAGCUUAACUCGGAAAGGUCAACUGAUACUGUGCGGCUAGAGUGCGGAAGGGGCAACUGGAAUUCUUGGUGUAGCGGUGAAAUGCGUAGAUAUCAAGAGGAACACCUGCGGCGAAGGCGGGUUGCUGGGCCGACACUGACGCUGAUGCGCGAAAGCCAGGGGAGCGAACGGG